RNAcentral lists this ribosomal RNA (425 nucleotides) under uncultured bacterium. RNAcentral's name for it is "bacterial SSU rRNA". It matches the Rfam family "Bacterial small subunit ribosomal RNA", at positions 354 to 796 of the family's 1533-position model. The record is from RNAcentral.
GUGGGGAAUAUUGGACAAUGGGCGCAAGCCUGAUCCAGCCAUGCCGCGUGAGUGAUGAAGGCCCUAGGGUUGUAAAGCUCUUUCACCGGAGAAGAUAAUGACGGUAUCCGGAGAAGAAGCCCCGGCUAACUUCGUGCCAACAGCCGCGGUAAUACGAAGGGGGCUAGCGUUGUUCGGAAUUACUGGGCGUAAAGCGCACGUAGGCGGACAUUUAAGUCAGGGGUGAAAUCCCGGGGCUGAAGCCCGGAACUACCUUUGAUACUGGGUGUCUGGAGUAUGGAAGAGGUAAGUGGAAUUCCGAGUGUAGAGGUGAAAUUCGUAGAUAUUCGGAGGAACACCAGUGGCGCAGGCGGCUUACUGGUCCAUUACUGACGCUGAGGUGCGAAAGCGUGGGGAGCAAACAGGAUUAGAAACCCUGGUAGUCC